This 1884-nucleotide small RNA is filed under the name Pan troglodytes (chimpanzee). RNAcentral's name for it is "retained intron". Lineage: Eukaryota; Metazoa; Chordata; Mammalia; Primates; Hominidae. The record is from RNAcentral.
GGAGCAGGGAAGGCGGGAGACAGCGCAGUUUGAAUCGCGGUGCGACGAAGGAGUAGGUGGUGGGAUCUCACCGUGGGUCCGAUUAGCCUUUUCUCUGCCUUGCUUGCUUGAGCUUCAGCGGAAUUCGAAAUGGUAAACUUCGCAGAGACGCUCGAUGACUCCGCGGGUUUUUGCCGGCGGGAGAAAAACCCGUUACACAGAGGGAUGGGGGUGAAGUGGCGACGGUUGGGAACGCGCGGAGACAGGAUUUAGAAGAGUGGGGGGAGGUGUUUUGUCGGCUGCUAGCGGAGCAGCCUCGGAUCUCGCGGCGGGCGGCGACGGUUGGGUGGCGCGCGCAGCGCCGCUGGGGGCCGGCGGGCGGGCGGAGGCGCGCGGCCGUGGCGAGCGCGCGGCGGGGGGCGAACGGGCGGGGUCGCCCCUGCGGCGCGCCGCGGGCCGGAGACCCCGGCGGGGUGCGGGGACGCGCUCGCGGCGGGACGCGCCGCGGUGGGGGAUGGGCGCGCCGCCUUGGUAAUUCUAUAUUCUCCGUUCCUCCUCCGCUCGCGGGCGUGUGCGCGCCGCAGGCUGGCGGUAAGGCUGGAAAGGACUCCGGAAAGGCCAAGACAAAGGCGGUUUCCCGCUCGCAGAGAGCCGGCUUGCAGGUCAGUAGUUGUUCGUGCAGUCUGGGAGUCAUGAUGUUUUUCUUUGCAUUUCCUUUUUUGUUAUUCAUCGCUCUCGAUGGGCGUUUUGUGUAUGCGUGGGUGAUGCGGUGUCGCGACUUGGGCUGCCCAUACGAUAAAUAUGGGGGGGAGGAAUCACGUGUUUCGAUGUCGGGACGCGUUGCUGCGCCCGUGCCCCUUGCUUUGGCGCGCAUAUAAUUUCCCCAUCUCUAGUUCUCAUUUUUGUGCAUUUAUGUUUGUGUAUGCUUAAAAUUUAAGUUCCCAGUGGGCCGUAUUCAUCGACACCUGAAAUCUAGGACGACCAGUCAUGGACGUGUGGGUGCGACUGCCGCUGUGUACAGCGCAGCCAUCCUGGAGUACCUCACCGCAGAGGUACUUGAACUGGCAGGAAAUGCAUCAAAAGACUUAAAGGUAAAGCGUAUUACCCCUCGUCACUUGCAACUUGCUAUUCGUGGAGAUGAAGAAUUGGAUUCUCUCAUCAAGGCUACAAUUGCUGGUGGUGGUAUGUUAACUUCUAACAUUUUAAAAAAUUUCUUCAGAGGAAGGAAUUUUUUGCUGCUUUUAAUUAGUUUUUCCAGGAGAGGAAAUUUAAGUAUAUUUUCAAUGAUGGAAGUAUAGUUGUAUCAUGAAAUUUGAUUUAUAUGUAUAACUCAAUGAAUUUUUACUUCAUACUUGAGCUGCACGUUUUUAAAGAUACCUUUCAAGUUGAACAGUGUACACUUUCUUGGUUUCAAAUACUGUGAUUUUUAAAAAAAUCUUAAGUAGAAUUAAUUCCUGUCACUCUCCUAGGUGUCAUUCCACACAUCCACAAAUCUCUGAUUGGGAAGAAAGGACAACAGAAGACUGUCUAAAGGAUGCCUGGAUUCCUUGUUUUCUCAGGACUCUAAAUACUCUAACAGCUGUCCAGUGUUGGUGAUUCCAGUGGACUGUAUCUCUGUGAAAAACACAAUUUUGCCUUUUUGUAAUUCUAUUUGAGCAAGUUGGAAGUUUAAUUAGCUUUCCAACCAACCAAAUUUCUGCAUUCGAGUCUUAACCAUAUUUAAGUGUUACUGUGGCUUCAAAGAAGCUAUUGAUUCUGAAGUAGUGGGUUUUGAUUGAGUUGACUGUUUUUAAAAAACUGUUUGGAUUUUAAUUGUGAUGCAGAAGUUAUAGUAACAAACAUUUGGUUUUGUACAGACAUUAUUUCCACUCUGGUGGAUAAGUUCAAUAAAGGUCAUAUCCCAAA